GUGAAGCGACUUGCUCGUGGAGCUGAAAUCAGUCGAAGAUACCAGCUGGCUGCAACUGUUUAUUAAAAACACAGCACUGUGCAAACACGAAAGUGGACGUAUACGGUGUGACGCCUGCCCGGUGCCGGAAGGUUAAUUGAUGGGGUUAUCCGUAAGGAGAAGCUCUUGAUCGAAGCCCCGGUAAACGGCGGCCGUAACUAUAACGGUCCUAAGGUAGCGAAAUUCCUUGUCGGGUAAGUUCCGACCUGCACGAAUGGCGUAAUGAUGGCCAGGCUGUCUCCACCCGAGACUCAGUGAAAUUGAACUCGCUGUGAAGAUGCAGUGUACCCGCGGCAAGACGGAAAGACCCCGUGAACCUUUACUAUAGCUUGACACUGAACACUGGUCCUUGAUGUGUAGGAUAGGUGGGAGGCUUUGAAGUGUGGACGCCAGUCUGCAUGGAGCCAUCCUUGAAAUACCACCCUUUAAUGGCUGGUGUUCUAACGUGGGCCCGUAAUCCGGGUUGCGGACAGUGUCUGGUGGGUAGUUUGACUGGGGCGGUCUCCUCCUAAAGAGUAACGGAGGAGCACGAAGGUCAGCUAAUCCUGGUCGGACAUCAGGAGGUUAGUGCAAUGGCAUAAGCUGGCUUGACUGCGAGCGUGACGGCGCGAGCAGGUGCGAAAGCAGGUCAUAGUGAUCCGGUGGUUCUGAAUGGAAGGGCCAUCGCUCAACGGAUAAAAGGUACUCCGGGGAUAACAGGCUGAUACCGCCCAAGAGUUCAUAUCGACGGCGGUGUUUGGCACCUCGAUGUCGGCUCAUCACAUCCUGGGGCUGAAGUAGGUCCCAAGGGUAUGGCUGUUCGCCAUUUAAAGUGGUACGCGAGCUGGGUUUAGAACGUCGUGAGACAGUUCGGUCCCUAUCUGCCGUGGGCGCUGGAGAAUUGAGGGGGGCUGCUCCUAGUACGAGAGGACCGGAGUGGACGCAUCACUGGUGUUCGGGUUGUCAUGCCAAUGGCAUUGCCCGGUAGCUAAAUGCGGAAGAGAUAAGUGCUGAAAGCAUCUAAGCACGAAACUUGCCCCGAGAUGAGUUCUCCCUGACCCUUUAAGGGUCCUGAAGGAACGUUGAAGACGACGACGUUGAUAGGCCGGGUGUGUAAGCGCAGCGAUGCGUUGAGCUAACCGGUACUAAUGAACCGUGAGGCUUAACCUU
This 1188-nucleotide ribosomal RNA is filed under the name Klebsiella oxytoca. Its description in RNAcentral is "bacterial LSU rRNA". It matches the Rfam family "Bacterial large subunit ribosomal RNA", at positions 1738 to 2925 of the family's 2925-position model. Lineage: Bacteria; Pseudomonadati; Pseudomonadota; Gammaproteobacteria; Enterobacterales; Enterobacteriaceae. The record is from RNAcentral.